This is a long non-coding RNA of Drosophila obscura, 1195 nucleotides long. RefSeq lists it as uncharacterized. The transcript is spliced from 3 exons. NCBI's taxonomy places the organism in Eukaryota, Metazoa, Arthropoda, Insecta, Diptera, Drosophilidae. The record is from RefSeq and is a predicted model, not a curated record.
CAAGGAAAAAAUACGGUAUUGAUGGGAAAACGUGGGCUGCUGCAUCCGGUGGUUCUAGGAGUCGGUCUCCUUCUCCUCGUGACCGUCGCAGAGUGCAGUAUUCUGGAGCUCUGUAUUCUAUCUGAUUUUUAACCAUAUAUACAGUCAGCUACCACGCGCAGUGAUUUUGUGUUCGCAAUUAUAAGUUGGUUUCCAUCAACCUCCACAAUCUGCCCAUAUCCACCGAGGUGUACAUAACCCCAAGACCACGGCAGCACCUACCGUCCCUGCUUUUCGACAGCCCACCGGGAGAAAGAAAAUCCACAGUUCGAAAUUGUAUCAAUUGAAGUGGUGCAGUUCCCAUUGGGGAAUCGCACCACUAGUACAGACGUAGUGAUACCUAGUUAUGUAUGAUAUAACUCUUGGUAUAACCUGAUAUAACUCUUGGUACAACCUGAUAUAACCCUUGGUACAACCUGGUAUAACUCGCUGGGAUACGUGGACUCGCUCCGGAAAAUUUUUCGACCGGCAGCGUGCUCGGGUCAGUUGAGGUUAUAUAACCUCCCCGUCCGACCUACGGGUGUGAGCAACGUGAUCCCAAGGAUGGACUUCCUCACGCUGUGAGCCGGUAUACCAUUACCGUCGCAACCAGCUUCGACAGUUGCGUCACUACAAGCAAGCUGCACCUGGCUUUCGCUGCGUGGGAGCAUUUUUCGUCGAUGCCUCAAGAUCAUUGACCCCGUGCCUAAGCCGCCGUCGAUUGUAGGUUCGCUCUGGCAAACCUAAUCUGAAGCCGCCUACCCAACGGAUUUAUUUUUAUGUGUUUUUUCUUCUCUUUCUUAUUAUAUACCGGAUAAUGAAGUGCUUUUUGAUUGGUCCGAUUGGUGGUUCAAUUUAAUUGUGCUGCGGCUAACAUGUACGCCCAUGAAAUCUAACAUGUGGACCUAGUCAAAAAGGAUUUCCUAUACCGGGCUUAAGUUGAAUAUUUAUCAAUUAAAUGGUUAUUAAUACAACUAAACUUUACAGUCAUGCGUGUCGUUACCCAGCCCUCAUCUUAUCAUUUGAUCAUCCAUUCAUUCACCUAAUCAUCUGCUAAUCCAAUCAUCCAGCCAUCUACACAACGAAAGAUCUUUCUGCGUGGGAGGAAAACGUACUGUAAGUUUGUACAAAUAUAAUGAUUCAGGGAGAUAUAAUGACUAACGUGGUAAACUGACCG